This is a non-coding RNA of Anas platyrhynchos (mallard), 2559 nucleotides long. Lineage: Eukaryota; Metazoa; Chordata; Aves; Anseriformes; Anatidae. The record is from RefSeq and is a predicted model, not a curated record.
UAUUCUCUAGCUUCUAUGCUCCGUGGAGUAUCUCAGCUGCUGAAUACACACCAGGCAAUGUCCUCAACAAAGAGGGUAGAACUGGAUACUGCAAGCUCAUUUUUGUUGCUGUUGUUUGUUUGUUUGCUUGUAAAUCUGGAGGCGUAUCACAAAGCCUGAGGUGGGUAGGUGAGUAGAAGAGGAAAUGAGAUGGCUUUCACAGUAACACUGGUGACUGCUGUCUUGUUUGCUACGACAAAUGUAGUGCCUGAAAGCAUUUGUUUUGAUAGUUAACAUACGAUGAGAAGUGACCCUUUUUCUUCUCAACUAAGAGAAGAGGCAUUGAUCGAGUCACUUUCCUCUUCCAAUUUCCCUCCUACCCCUGAGCAGUCAGUCACACAGCUCUUUGCCUGACCUUUUUCUCAGGGCUGCUGAUGCAUCUCUGACAGCACUGCUGCCUCUGCAUGUCAGGAUGGGUGGGCUUGGUGGCAACAGAGCUCUCUGCUCUGUUCCUCCAGCAGGACAGGAGCUACGAAUGUUUUCUGGAUGCACACUGGGCAGCUGGGUGCGCUUCCGUAAUGCUCGCCAGGAUCCUGCAAGGUCUUUCGCUGCAGUGAAGCUGCUUUGAGGAGGAGUCUGUCAACCCCCAAAACACCGCUUUGAAUACUGAGUAGAGAGAAGUUUGUGAGCAAACAGUGCAUCUUUCCUGUAUGACCACAUCCUAAAUCCUCAAGGGCAGUGGAUGUGGAUGUGGCUGUGUGUGUGGACAGUGCUGUAAUCCAGAGGGCUUUCCUGAGCUGCCACGGCUGUCCCAAAAGUGUCAGUGGGCUUUGACAUGCAAGCAGUGAAUCCUUUCAGUAGUGUGUUUAUGUUGGGGGAGAUGUCUUUUUAUUAUUAUUAUUAUUUUUAUUUCUUGUCCUCUUUUAGGUAUUGUUUCAGGUCAGGAUGCGGAGCACUCUGCCUCACUGCAGCUGAAAACUGAAACAAUGUUUGUGCUGUUGGCGCUCCGCAUCCCACUGCAAAACCCCGGUCCUGCUCCUGCUGUGAAGAUGACAAGCUUCAACCUGGGGCAAAUCCAUGGGAACGGCGGCUGUGGGGCAGAGCCUCGCACUUUCACACUGGAAAAGCAGCAUUUGCGAGAGGAGUGAGGAGCUUUUACCUUGGCUCCGGCCCACAGGCUUUCUUCAGAAUAUUCCUUUCACAUGGAAAUUCUUGCCAAGUGAAGAUUGCUAGCGCUGACUGGCAUGUCAGCCGUGGCAAAAGACACAGGGGUUUUGUAUCGUUGGAUGUACGUGACACACAGAAAAGGAGAGAGGUUUCGUUUUGUGUUGGCUACCGUAAUCGGCCAGCGGCACGCAGGGAGUCUUUGUGGAAGGGGUGGCAGAGAGGGAGUAAGUAUAGGAAAAGAAAGCUAGAUUUAUUAACAUUAAUUCCAAAUAAUCAGUUUUCUGCUGAAGGCAGUACCACUAAUCUCAAAUUUCCCUGCCUCAGAGUCGCUACUUGAGUCCCAUGCCUGCUCCACGUAAAGCCCUGGCCAAGAAAGCACACCUGCAUUAACUCCACUGCACAUAAUUUAUUGAGCCAGCUUCGCCACAAUACUUUUUUUGUUUCCCAACAGAAGUCAUUCCUAGCCUGACCAUCCUAUGCACUGGUUUUCAGUCAGCCUUACCCAGUGUGGACAAGGCAGAUGCUGCCCUGUGGUGUGGCCCUCACCUGUACCUCGGGCUCCUACAGAGAUGUAUUCCAGCAGAAGACCUGCGCAGAAGAGCAGGAGUGCCUCAGAAGGGCUUCUCCGAUACCAGAAAGCUGCUGAUUUCCUCUGGGCAGCCAGCAGUUUGUUUUUCCUAUUCUGUCUGCAUCUGCAGAACAUCUUCUCCACAAACUCCGAGGUGUUCUCCCAGACAUAACACAUACAGAGCCUCAUAGGAAGGGCCAAUAGUUACAGCUGCUGUUUGACACAAGAUGAGAGCAGAGGAGGGGGAUGCCAUCAGCCGAUGUCGUAGGUCCCUGGGAAAAUACAAGGUUUCCAAUGCCAGAUUCCCAGAUGAUCGCAGGAAACCAAAUCCUUCUGUAUCUCAUGGAGGAAAGUUAAAAACAAAAUGGGUCCCGUCAGUCUCAUUGUUGGGGAAGAUGCCUUACCUCAAACCCGACAAUCAGGCCCUGAGUAGCAAGAGCGUGUAGUAAGAGCACAAGGAAAUUCCCACUUAGGUUUCUGCUCUGCCUUCAACACCUCACAGGAGCCCUGAAUCUUUUCUUGAAAAAGCCAAGUUAUGUAUCAAGGGAAGAAAUACAAUCCAUGCUGGCCCUCGUAUGUGACCACAGCACACCUGGAUGCGUGGAGCUGCUGCAGCGUAAUUAAGGGGAAGCUAGGAGUGACCCACUUCCUUCUGGACCUCCUCAGAGACACUGGGGGUCUGGUAUCACCAGCAGAGCUUUAUUUCUCUGUGGAUUCCUCUAGUCUGUUGUACAGUCACUUCCGUCAGGUUACUGAACUUGAGCUGGUGCAGCAGAGGUUCCUUGUCAGUUUACUUGAAAGGCUUUUUGAGAACUUCACUUUUCUAGUUCUUAUAAAUUUUCAAA